AGAGUUUGAUCAUGGCUCAGAACGAACGCUGGCGGCAGGCUUAACACAUGCAAGUCGAACGAGACCUUCGGGUCUAGUGGCGCACGGGUGAGUAACGCGUGGGAACCUGUCCUGUGGUUCGGGAUACCUCCGGGAAACUGGAGUUAAUACCGGGUAUCUCCUGAGGGAGAAAGAUUUAUCGCCAUAGGGUGGGCCCGCGUCCGAUUAGCUAGUUGGUGGGGUAAAGGCCUACCAAGGCUUCGAUCGGUAGCUGGUCUGAGAGGAUGAUCAGCCACACUGGGACUGAGACACGGCCCAGACUCCUACGGGAGGCAGCAGUGGGGAAUAUUGGACAAUGGGGGCAACCCUGAUCCAGCCAUGCCGCGUGAGUGAUGAAGGCCUUCGGGUUGUAAAGCUCUUUCGACGGGGACGAUGAUGACGGUACCCGUAGAAGAAGCCCCGGCUAACUUCGUGCCAGCAGCCGCGGUAAUACGAAGGGGGCGAGCGUUGUUCGGAAUUACUGGGCGUAAAGGGCGCGUAGGCGGCGCACCAAGUCAGGCGUGAAAGCCCUGGGCUUAACCCAGGAACUGCGUUUGAGACUGGUGUGCUGGAGUGCAGGAGAGGUCGGCGGAAUUCCCAGUGUAGAGGUGAAAUUCGUAGAGAUUGGGAAGAACACCGGUGGCGUAGGCGGCCGACUGGACUGUAACUGACGCUGAGGCGCGAAAGCGUGGGGAGCAAACAGGAUUAGAUACCCUAGUAGUCC
Molecule: ribosomal RNA, 742 nt
Filed under: uncultured bacterium
Lineage: Bacteria
Description: bacterial SSU rRNA
Rfam family: Bacterial small subunit ribosomal RNA
Source: RNAcentral